Molecule: long non-coding RNA, 539 nt
Organism: Camellia sinensis
Lineage: Eukaryota; Viridiplantae; Streptophyta; Magnoliopsida; Ericales; Theaceae
Source: RefSeq, a predicted model, not a curated record
AGGAAACCCUGAACUUUGUGGGCUUCCACUUCCAAAUAAAUGUCCAGGAGAAGAAAUAGUUGUGGAACCUCCAGUUCUUGUUCAAGAAGAUGAUGACAAGUUUAUUACCACUGGAUUUUACAUUAGUAUGGGGCUAGGUUUCACCCUUGGAUUUUGGACAGUUUUUGGCACUAUGAUUUUUAACAAACCAUCUAGACAUGCCUAUUUCGAGUUCUUGGACCGGAUAAAGAAUUGGUUUUAUGUUACAAGUGCACUGAGUAUGGCUAGACUGCAAAGGAGGCUUCAGAGGUAAACGGUCUAUGUUGCAAGCAAUCUUCAGCUCAUUGGUCUCAAGAUCUAUCUAUAUGGAAGUUAGGCCACGCCUAAGAGACACACGAGCAGCGAGUUUAGAGCAUACGGAGCUAUCAACACCAACUGUUACUAGGCCCUCUAUGUAUUUGUUGAAAUGAUGAAAUAACUUCAUAAAUAUUUAUUUUCAUGUGUAAUUGUAUUGUGGAUUGUGUGUUUGGAUGGAUUGCAAUAUGUUUUUUGCUAUGAAA